This 468-nucleotide ribosomal RNA is filed under the name uncultured bacterium. RNAcentral's name for it is "partial 16S ribosomal RNA". It matches the Rfam family "Bacterial small subunit ribosomal RNA", at positions 28 to 507 of the family's 1533-position model. The record is from RNAcentral.
GACGAACGCUCGCGGCGUGCUUAACACAUGCAAGUCGAACGGAAAGGCCCUGCUUUUGUGGGGUGCUCGAGUGGCGAACGGGCGAGUAACACGUGAGUAACCUGCCCUUGACUUUGGGAUAACUUCAGGAAACUGGGGCUAAUACCGGAUAGGAGCUCCUGCUGCAUGGUGGGGGUUGGAAAGUUUCGGCGGUUGGGGAUGGACUCGCGGCUUAUCAGCUUGUUGGUGGGGUAGUGGCUUACCAAGGCUUUGACGGGUAGCCGGCCUGAGAGGGUGACCGGCCACAUUGGGACUGAGAUACGGCGCAGACUCCUACGGGAGGCAGCAGUGGGGAAUAUUGCACAAUGGGCGGAAGCCUGAUGCAGCAACGCCGCGUGCGGGAUGACGGCCUUCGGGUUGUAAACCGCUUUCGCCUGUGACGAAGCGUGAGUGACGGUAAUGGGUAAAGAAGCACCGGCUAACUACGUG